This 22-nucleotide microRNA is filed under the name Eisenia fetida (common brandling worm). RNAcentral describes it as "Efe-Mir-315_3p* (star (passenger))". The record is from RNAcentral. Lineage: Eukaryota; Metazoa; Annelida; Clitellata; Crassiclitellata; Lumbricidae.
CAUUUGAGCUUCAAUCAAACAU